GCGGAAGUGGCUCAGUGGUAGAGCAGCACCUUGCCAAGGUGCGGGUCGCGAGUUCGAAUCUCGUCUUCCGCUCCA
RNAcentral lists this transfer RNA (75 nucleotides) under Dehalococcoidia bacterium. RNAcentral describes it as "tRNA-Gly". It matches the Rfam family "tRNA". Rfam says of the family: Transfer RNA (tRNA) molecules are approximately 80 nucleotides in length. Their secondary structure includes four short double-helical elements and three loops (D, anti-codon, and T loops). Further hydrogen bonds mediate the characteristic L-shaped molecular structure. tRNAs have two regions of fundamental functional importance: the anti-codon, which is responsible for specific mRNA codon recognition, and the 3' end, to which the tRNAs corresponding amino acid is attached (by aminoacyl-tRNA synthetases). tRNAs cope with the degeneracy of the genetic code in two manners: having more than one tRNA (with a specific anti-codon) for a particular amino acid; and 'wobble' base-pairing, i.e. permitting non-standard base-pairing at the 3rd anti-codon position. The record is from RNAcentral. Lineage: Bacteria; Bacillati; Chloroflexota; Dehalococcoidia.